UGAGGAAUAUUAGUCAAUGGGCGAGAGCCUGAACCAGCCAAGUCGCGUGAAGGAAGACAGUCCUAAGGAUUGUAAACUUCUUUUAUACGGGAAUAACGGGCGAUACGAGUAUUGCAUUGAAUGUACCGUAAGAAUAAGCAUCGGCUAACUCCGUGCCAGCAGCCGCGGUAAUACGGAGGAUGCGAGCGUUAUCCGGAUUUAUUGGGUUUAAAGGGUGCGUAGGUUGUUCGGUAAGUCAGCGGUGAAACCUGAGCGCUCAACGUUCAGCCUGCCGUUGAAACUGCCGGGCUUGAGUUCAGUGGCGGCAGGCGGAAUUCGUGGUGUAGCGGUGAAAUGCAUAGAUAUCACGAGGAACUCCGAUUGCGAAGGCAGCUUGCCAUACUGCGACUGACACUGAAGCACGAAGGCGUGGGUAUCAAACAGG
RNAcentral lists this ribosomal RNA (424 nucleotides) under Fusobacteriota bacterium. RNAcentral describes it as "Fusobacteria bacterium partial 16S ribosomal RNA". It matches the Rfam family "Bacterial small subunit ribosomal RNA", at positions 355 to 776 of the family's 1533-position model. Lineage: Bacteria; Fusobacteriati; Fusobacteriota. The record is from RNAcentral.